GUUUUAAUAGUUUAAAUAAAAAUAAUGAUCUUGUAAAUCAUUGAUAGACACUAAAUCUUUAAAACU
This 66-nucleotide transfer RNA is filed under the name Amblythyreus gestroi. RNAcentral describes it as "tRNA-Thr". The record is from RNAcentral. Lineage: Eukaryota; Metazoa; Arthropoda; Insecta; Hemiptera; Phymatidae.